This 205-nucleotide ribosomal RNA is filed under the name uncultured bacterium. Its description in RNAcentral is "partial 16S ribosomal RNA". It matches the Rfam family "Bacterial small subunit ribosomal RNA", at positions 524 to 728 of the family's 1533-position model. The record is from RNAcentral.
UACAGAGGGUGCAAGCGUUGUUCGGAAUUAUUGGGCGUAAAGCGCGUGUAGGCGGCUUUGCAAGUCGGGUGUGAAAGCCCUGGGCUCAACCUAGGAAGUGCAUUCGAAACUUCGAGACUCGAGUCUGGAGAGGAUCGCGGAAUUCUCGGUGUGAGAGGUGAAAUUCGUAGAUAUCGAGAGGAACACCGGUGGCGAAGGCGGCGAU